GGUAAGAUAAGUUAAAGGAAAACUUUUGGGCCCAUACCCCAGAUAUGCGGGCUAAACUCCCUGCUCUUACCA
This 72-nucleotide transfer RNA is filed under the name Crossorhombus valderostratus (broadbrow flounder). RNAcentral's name for it is "tRNA-Met". It matches the Rfam family "tRNA". From Rfam's summary of the family: Transfer RNA (tRNA) molecules are approximately 80 nucleotides in length. Lineage: Eukaryota; Metazoa; Chordata; Actinopteri; Pleuronectiformes; Bothidae. The record is from RNAcentral.